RNAcentral lists this ribosomal RNA (472 nucleotides) under uncultured bacterium. Its description in RNAcentral is "bacterial SSU rRNA". It matches the Rfam family "Bacterial small subunit ribosomal RNA", at positions 355 to 825 of the family's 1533-position model. The record is from RNAcentral.
UGGGGAAUUUUGGACAAUGGGCGCAAGCCUGAUCCAGCUAUACCGCGUGAGUGAAGAAGGCCUUCGGGUUGUAAAGCUCUUUCAGACGGAAAGAAACGGUUACGGCUAAUACCCGUGACUAAUGACGGUACCGUAAGAAGAAGCACCGGCUAACUACGUGCCAGCAGCCGCGGUAAUACGUAGGGUGCGAGCGUUAAUCGGAAUUACUGGGCGUAAAGCGUGCGCAGGCGGUUAUAUAAGACAGAUGUGAAAUCCCCGGGCUCAACCUGGGAACUGCAUUUGUGACUGUAUAGCUAGAGUACGGCAGAGGGGGAUGGAAUUCCGCGUGUAGCAGUGAAAUGCGUAGAUAUGCGGAGGAACACCGAUGGCGAAGGCAAUCCCCUGGGCCUGUACUGACGCUCAUGCACGAAAGCGUGGGGAGCAAACAGGAUUAGAUACCCAUGUAGUCCCUGAGCGGGCUGGCAAGGCGCAU